RNAcentral lists this ribosomal RNA (500 nucleotides) under uncultured bacterium. RNAcentral's name for it is "partial 16S ribosomal RNA". It matches the Rfam family "Bacterial small subunit ribosomal RNA", at positions 28 to 507 of the family's 1533-position model. The record is from RNAcentral.
GACGAACGCUGGCGGCGUGCCUAAUACAUGCAAGUCGAGCGGACUGAUUAAGAGCUUGCUCUUAUGACGUUAGCGGCGGACGGGUGAGUAACACGUGGGCAACCUGCCCUGUAGAUCGGGAUAACACCGAGAAAUCGGUGCUAAUACCGGGUAAUAUCUGAGAUCACAUGAUCUUAGGUUAAAAGAUGGCUCCGGCUAUCACUACAGGAUGGGCCCGCGGCGCAUUAGCUAGUUGGUAAGGUAAUGGCUUACCAAGGCGACGAUGCGUAGCCGACCUGAGAGGGGGAUCGGCCACACUGGGACUGAGACACGGCCCAGACUCCUACGGGAGGCAGCAGUAGGGAAUCUUCCGCAAUGGACGAAAGUCUGACGGAGCAACGCCGCGUGAGUGAUGAAGGGGUUCGGCUCGUAAAGCUCUGUUGUUAGGGAAGAAACAGUACCGAACGAACUAGGUCGGUACCUUGACGGUACCUAACCAGAAAGCCACGGCUAACUACGUG